Molecule: ribosomal RNA, 2906 nt
Filed under: Citrobacter freundii
Lineage: Bacteria; Pseudomonadati; Pseudomonadota; Gammaproteobacteria; Enterobacterales; Enterobacteriaceae
Description: 23S ribosomal RNA
Rfam family: Bacterial large subunit ribosomal RNA
Source: RNAcentral
GGUUAAGCGACUAAGCGUACACGGUGGAUGCCCUGGCAGUCAGAGGCGAUGAAGGACGUGCUAAUCUGCGAUAAGCGUCGGUAAGGUGAUAUGAACCGUUAUAACCGGCGAUUUCCGAAUGGGGAAACCCAGUGUGAUUCGUCACACUAUCAUUACGUGAAUACAUAGCGUAAUGAAGCGAACCGGGGGAACUGAAACAUCUAAGUACCCCGAGGAAAAGAAAUCAACCGAGAUUCCCCCAGUAGCGGCGAGCGAACGGGGAGCAGCCCAGAGUCUGAAUCAGCUUGUGUGUUAGUGGAACGGUCUGGAAAGUCCGACGGUACAGGGUGAUAGUCCCGUACACCAAAAUGCACAGGUUGUGAACUCGAAGAGUAGGGCGGGACACGUGGUAUCCUGUCUGAAUAUGGGGGGACCAUCCUCCAAGGCUAAAUACUCCUGACUGACCGAUAGUGAACCAGUACCGUGAGGGAAAGGCGAAAAGAACCCCGGCGAGGGGAGUGAAAAAGAACCUGAAACCGUGUACGUACAAGCAGUGGGAGCCUCUUUAUGGGGUGACUGCGUACCUUUUGUAUAAUGGGUCAGCGACUUAUAUUCUGUAGCAAGGUUAACCGUAUAGGGGAGCCGAAGGGAAACCGAGUCUUAACUGGGCGUUAAGUUGCAGGGUAUAGACCCGAAACCCGGUGAUCUAGCCAUGGGCAGGUUGAAGGUUGGGUAACACUAACUGGAGGACCGAACCGACUAAUGUUGAAAAAUUAGCGGAUGACUUGUGGCUGGGGGUGAAAGGCCAAUCAAACCGGGAGAUAGCUGGUUCUCCCCGAAAGCUAUUUAGGUAGCGCCUCGUGAACUCAUCUUCGGGGGUAGAGCACUGUUUCGGCUAGGGGGUCAUCCCGACUUACCAACCCGAUGCAAACUGCGAAUACCGAAGAAUGUUAUCACGGGAGACACACGGCGGGUGCUAACGUCCGUCGUGAAGAGGGAAACAACCCAGACCGCCAGCUAAGGUCCCAAAGUCAUGGUUAAGUGGGAAACGAUGUGGGAAGGCACAGACAGCCAGGAUGUUGGCUUAGAAGCAGCCAUCAUUUAAAGAAAGCGUAAUAGCUCACUGGUCGAGUCGGCCUGCGCGGAAGAUGUAACGGGGCUAAACCAUGCACCGAAGCUGCGGCAGCGACACUAUGUGUUGUUGGGUAGGGGAGCGUUCUGUAAGCCGUUGAAGGUGGCCUGUGAGGGUUGCUGGAGGUAUCAGAAGUGCGAAUGCUGACAUAAGUAACGAUAAUGCGGGUGAAAAACCCGCACGCCGGAAGACCAAGGGUUCCUGUCCAACGUUAAUCGGGGCAGGGUGAGUCGACCCCUAAGGCGAGGCCGAAAGGCGUAGUCGAUGGGAAACAGGUUAAUAUUCCUGUACUUGGUGUUACUGCGAAGGGGGGACGGAGAAGGCUAUGUUAGCCGGGCGACGGUUGUCCCGGUUUAAGCAUGUAGGCGGAGGUUCCAGGUAAAUCCGGUACCUUUUAACGCUGAGGUGUGAUGACGAGGCACUACGGUGCUGAAGUAACAAAUGCCCUGCUUCCAGGAAAAGCCUCUAAGCAUCAGGUAACACGAAAUCGUACCCCAAACCGACACAGGUGGUCAGGUAGAGAAUACCAAGGCGCUUGAGAGAACUCGGGUGAAGGAACUAGGCAAAAUGGUGCCGUAACUUCGGGAGAAGGCACGCUGAUAUGUAGGUGAAGCGGUUUACCCGUGGAGCUGAAAUCAGUCGAAGAUACCAGCUGGCUGCAACUGUUUAUUAAAAACACAGCACUGUGCAAACACGAAAGUGGACGUAUACGGUGUGACGCCUGCCCGGUGCCGGAAGGUUAAUUGAUGGGGUUAUCCGUAAGGAGAAGCUCUUGAUCGAAGCCCCGGUAAACGGCGGCCGUAACUAUAACGGUCCUAAGGUAGCGAAAUUCCUUGUCGGGUAAGUUCCGACCUGCACGAAUGGCGUAAUGAUGGCCAGGCUGUCUCCACCCGAGACUCAGUGAAAUUGAACUCGCUGUGAAGAUGCAGUGUACCCGCGGCAAGACGGAAAGACCCCGUGAACCUUUACUAUAGCUUGACACUGAACACUGGUCCUUGAUGUGUAGGAUAGGUGGGAGGCUUUGAAGUGUGGACGCCAGUCUGCAUGGAGCCAUCCUUGAAAUACCACCCUUUAAUGGCUGGUGUUCUAACGUGGACCCGUUACCCGGGUUGCGGACAGUGUCUGGUGGGUAGUUUGACUGGGGCGGUCUCCUCCUAAAGAGUAACGGAGGAGCACGAAGGUUAGCUAAUCCUGGUCGGACAUCAGGAGGUUAGUGCAAAGGCAUAAGCUAGCUUGACUGCGAGAGUGACGGCUCGAGCAGGUGCGAAAGCAGGUCUUAGUGAUCCGGUGGUUCUGAAUGGAAGGGCCAUCGCUCAACGGAUAAAAGGUACUCCGGGGAUAACAGGCUGAUACCGCCCAAGAGUUCAUAUCGACGGCGGUGUUUGGCACCUCGAUGUCGGCUCAUCACAUCCUGGGGCUGAAGUAGGUCCCAAGGGUAUGGCUGUUCGCCAUUUAAAGUGGUACGCGAGCUGGGUUUAGAACGUCGUGAGACAGUUCGGUCCCUAUCUGCCGUGGGCGCUGGAGAAUUGAGGGGGGCUGCUCCUAGUACGAGAGGACCGGAGUGGACGCAUCACUGGUGUUCGGGUUGUCAUGCCAAUGGCAUUGCCCGGUAGCUAAAUGCGGAAGAGAUAAGUGCUGAAAGCAUCUAAGCACGAAACUUGCCCCGAGAUGAGUUCUCCCUGAGACUUUAAGUCUCCUGAAGGAACGUUAAAGACGAUGACGUUGAUAGGUCGGGUGUGUAAGUGUAGCGAUACAUUGAGCUAACCGAUACUAAUGAACCGUGAGGCUUAACCUU